Molecule: unclassified non-coding RNA, 238 nt
Filed under: Hevea brasiliensis (rubber tree)
Lineage: Eukaryota; Viridiplantae; Streptophyta; Magnoliopsida; Malpighiales; Euphorbiaceae
Source: RNAcentral
CCUCCAUCUUUUGCCUUCUGUAUAAGAUCUUCCCACAUUUCAGGGGUGCUUCUGGGAUAGUGAAUGGAGCCAGAGAUAAGGAUCCUCCUUUGACCAUUGAUGACAAUGGACUUCUUAUCGUAGGUGACACUGGGAUCAUCUCAAAACCCGUAAACAAGGCCAUCAAGACAAUGGUUAAAAGCUUGGAAACUGAGUUAGUUCCCAUCUCUCUCUCUCUGCAACUGGGCGGAGAAAAUUG